Molecule: ribosomal RNA, 253 nt
Filed under: uncultured bacterium
Lineage: Bacteria
Description: partial 16S ribosomal RNA
Rfam family: Bacterial small subunit ribosomal RNA
Source: RNAcentral
UACAGAGGGGGCAAGCGUUGUUCGGAAUUACUGGGCGUAAAGGGCGCGUAGGCGGCCUGUUAAGUCGAACGUGAAAUCCCUGGGCUCAACCCAGGAACUGCGUCCGAUACUGGCAGGCUUGAAUUCGGGAGAGGGAUGCGGAAUUCCAGGUGUAGCGGUGAAAUGCGUAGAUAUCGAGAGGAACACCUGCGGCGAAGGCGGGUUGCUGGGCUGACACUGACGCUGAUGCGCGAAAGCUAGGGGAGCGAACGGG